Long non-coding RNA from Labrus mixtus (cuckoo wrasse), 229 nucleotides. RefSeq lists it as uncharacterized. NCBI's taxonomy places the organism in Eukaryota, Metazoa, Chordata, Actinopteri, Labriformes, Labridae. The transcript has 2 exons. The record is from RefSeq and is a predicted model, not a curated record.
AGCAGUAGAAAUAUUGUUAUAUACAACAAAAUAUUAAUCAAAUAGAAUAGGAAUGUAAGAAAGAUGUCAAGAAAUAAGUACAAGAAAUAUUUACGUGAAUAAGAGUAAGGCAAGAAUACAGAAACAGCACAGGAUAGGUAGACAUUUGAACCACAUGCGGGGAUAAUUAAACAGGUGAGAAUAAUGAGGUCAUAAAAAAGGGAUGGACACACAAAUGGGAGGAAGUGAC